CUACUGAGACAUUAAUAAUGAGAGAGAAAAAAGAAAUGAAUCGCACAUCUACUGCUAAUGCUAUGAUCUCAUCCCUGCAUUCCUGCAGGAGACAGCACUGAAUAGCGCAUGUGUACUACCUCCAUGCUACAUGC
Bufo bufo (common toad) is the source of this 134-nucleotide long non-coding RNA. RefSeq lists it as uncharacterized. The transcript is spliced from 3 exons. The record is from RefSeq and is a predicted model, not a curated record. Lineage: Eukaryota; Metazoa; Chordata; Amphibia; Anura; Bufonidae.